This 462-nucleotide ribosomal RNA is filed under the name uncultured soil bacterium. RNAcentral describes it as "bacterial SSU rRNA". It matches the Rfam family "Bacterial small subunit ribosomal RNA", at positions 26 to 528 of the family's 1533-position model. The record is from RNAcentral.
AGAACGAACGCUGGCGGCAUGCCUAACACAUGCAAGUCGAACGAAUGCCCUUCGGGGUGUUAGUGGCGCACGGGUGCGUAACGCGUGGGAAUCUGCCUUUAGGUUCGGAAUAACAGUGAGAAAUUGCUGCUAAUACCGGAUGAUGACGUUAAGUCCAAAGAUUUAUCGCCUAGAGAUGAGCCCGCGUUGGAUUAGGUAGUUGGUGGGGUAAAGGCCUACCAAGCCGACGAUCCAUAGCUGGUCUGAGAGGAUGAUCAGCCACACUGGGACUGAGACACGGCCCAGACUCCUACGGGAGGCAGCAGUGGGGAAUAGUUGGACAAUGGGCGAAAGCCUGAUCCAGCAAUGCCGCGUGAGUGAUGAAGGCCUUAGGGUGUAAAGCUACGUUUACCGGAAGAUAAUGACUGUAACCGGAGAAGUAACGCCCCCGGACUAACCGUCCGACGCCGACGCCACGCCGAC